UUUUUCGUGACCGGCGGAAACAGUGGAAAGAACCACGGGGGAGCGAAAAACGGGAAAAGAAUGCCGACCGCCUGGGCAGACC
RNAcentral lists this non-coding RNA (82 nucleotides) under pig gut metagenome. Its description in RNAcentral is "ZMP/ZTP riboswitch". It matches the Rfam family "ZMP/ZTP riboswitch aptamer (pfl RNA motif)". Rfam says of the family: Previously known as pfl RNA. ZMP is also known as AICAR. The record is from RNAcentral.